CUAGCCGUAAACGAUGGAUACUAGGCGUUGAGAGGAUCGACCCUCGCAGUGCCGUAGCUAACGCGUUAAGUAUCCCGCCUGGGGAGUACGCGCGCAAGCGUGAAACUCAAAGGAAUUGACGGGGGCCCGCACAAGCGGUGGAGUAUGUGGUUUAAUUCGAUACAACGCGAAGAACCUUACCAGGGCUUGACAUGUCCGGAACCCUGCCCAAAGGUGGGGGUGCCUACGGGAGCCAGAACACAGGUGGUGC
RNAcentral lists this ribosomal RNA (250 nucleotides) under uncultured Chroococcidiopsis sp. RNAcentral describes it as "partial 16S ribosomal RNA". It matches the Rfam family "Bacterial small subunit ribosomal RNA", at positions 796 to 1044 of the family's 1533-position model. The record is from RNAcentral. Lineage: Bacteria; Bacillati; Cyanobacteriota; Cyanophyceae; Chroococcidiopsidales; Chroococcidiopsidaceae.